AGAACGAACGCUGGCGGCACGCCUAACACAUGCAAGUCGAGCGCCCAGCAAUGGGAGCGGCGGACGGGUGAGGAACACGUGGGAAUAUGCCUUUCGGUUCGGCACAACUGCGGGAAACUGCAGCUAAUUCCGGAUACGCCCUUACGGGGAAAGAUUUAUCGCCGAAAGAUUAGCCCGCGUCUGAUUAGCUAGUUGGUGAGGUAAUGGCUCACCAAGGCUUCGAUCAGUAGCUGGUUUGAGAGAACGACCAGCCACACUGGGACUGAGACACGGCCCAGACUCCUACGGGAGGCAGCAGUGGGAAUCUUGGACAAUGGAGGAAACUCUGAUCCAGCGAUGCCGCGUGAGUGAUGAAGGCCUUCGGGUUGUAAAACUCUUUUACCAGGGAGAUAAUGACUGUACCUGGAGAAUAAGCUCCGGCUAACUUCGUGCCAGCAGCCGC
RNAcentral lists this ribosomal RNA (442 nucleotides) under uncultured bacterium. Its description in RNAcentral is "SSU rRNA". It matches the Rfam family "Bacterial small subunit ribosomal RNA", at positions 26 to 518 of the family's 1533-position model. The record is from RNAcentral.